Molecule: transfer RNA, 71 nt
Filed under: Loxodonta africana (African savanna elephant)
Lineage: Eukaryota; Metazoa; Chordata; Mammalia; Proboscidea; Elephantidae
Rfam family: tRNA
About the family: Transfer RNA (tRNA) molecules are approximately 80 nucleotides in length. Their secondary structure includes four short double-helical elements and three loops (D, anti-codon, and T loops).
Source: Rfam by way of RNAcentral
AUAGAGGUGGUUUAGUGGUAGAAUUCUCACCUUCCAUGUGGGAUACCAGGGUUCAGUUCCCAGCCAAUAUA